GGACGAGGAAGACGAAGAGGAGGAGGAGGAAGAAGAAGAGGAAGAGGAGGAGGACCUCAUCCCAGAGUUCGGCGUGACGGCCGUGGUGGGCUGCGAGGCCUUCUUCCCCUACCACUGGGGGCUGGCCUCACACCUCGACCCCAUCGGGGAGGAGGACGAGAACAGGUGCGAAGAGGACACCGCAGCCGGCGGUCGCGCGCCCACCAUACACGCAGACGCGGACGUCGACGCCGCCAGCAGCCGCUUCCAGAUCGUCGCCACCAGGUUUUCGACGGAAGUCCUGCAAGAGGUGGAAGACGAGGAUGAGGAGGAGGACGAGUGGCAGGAGGCCCUGGACGGGGAGUGGCCAGUAGCGGCCAGCCACGGCCACGUGACC
Molecule: long non-coding RNA, 376 nt
Organism: Schistocerca piceifrons (Central American locust)
Lineage: Eukaryota; Metazoa; Arthropoda; Insecta; Orthoptera; Acrididae
Exons: 3
Source: RefSeq, a predicted model, not a curated record